AGCAGCCGCGGUAAUUCCAGCUCCAAUAGCGUAUAUUAAAGUUGUUGCAGUUAAAAGCUCGUAGCUGAAUUUCGGGAUUAGUACGCUGGUCAUGCCUUUGGUAUGUACUGGUGUUACUGGUUCCUGCCUUCUGAAGAACCGUCAUGUCAUUAAUUUGGUGUGGCGGGGAAUCAGGACUGUUACUUUGAAAAAUUAGAGUGUUUAAAGCAGGCUCGCGCUUGAAUACAUUAGCAUGGAAUAAUGAAAUAGGACGUUUGACCCUAUUUUGUUGGUUUCUAGGAUCGACGUAAUGAUUAAUAGGGAUAGUUGGGGGCAUUAGUAUUCAAUUGUCAGAGGUGAAAUUCUUGGAUUUAUUGAAGACUAACUACUGCGAAAGCAUUUGCCAAGGAUGUUUUCAUUAAUCAAGAACGAAAGUUAGGGGAUCGAAGACGAUCAGAUACCGUCGUAGUCUUAACCAUAAACUAUGCCGACUAGGGAUCGGAUGAUGUUAUUUAAUGA
This 498-nucleotide ribosomal RNA is filed under the name uncultured Glomeromycotina. Its description in RNAcentral is "SSU rRNA". It matches the Rfam family "Eukaryotic small subunit ribosomal RNA", at positions 569 to 1073 of the family's 1831-position model. Lineage: Eukaryota; Fungi; Glomeromycota. The record is from RNAcentral.